RNAcentral lists this small RNA (29 nucleotides) under Bombyx mori (domestic silkworm). Its description in RNAcentral is "ovarian small RNA-6743". The record is from RNAcentral. Lineage: Eukaryota; Metazoa; Arthropoda; Insecta; Lepidoptera; Bombycidae.
UCAACAAAAAGCGCCACACCCGAUCAAAA